This 251-nucleotide ribosomal RNA is filed under the name uncultured bacterium. RNAcentral's name for it is "partial 16S ribosomal RNA". It matches the Rfam family "Bacterial small subunit ribosomal RNA", at positions 524 to 776 of the family's 1533-position model. The record is from RNAcentral.
GACGUAGGGGCCAGCGUUGCUCGGAAUUACUGGCGUAAAGGGUUCGUAGGCGGUGCGGUAAGUCGGAAGUGAAAUCUCUGGGCUUAACUCAGAGGCUGCUUUCGAAACUGCCGUGCUGGAGUGCGGGAGAGGCGAGUGGAAUUGCAGGUGUAGCGGUGAAAUGCGUAGAUAUCUGCAGGAACACCCGUGGCGAAGGCGGCUCGCUGGACCGCAACUGACGCUGAGGCGCGAAAGCGUGGGGAGCAAACAGG